RNAcentral lists this ribosomal RNA (467 nucleotides) under uncultured bacterium. Its description in RNAcentral is "partial 16S ribosomal RNA". It matches the Rfam family "Bacterial small subunit ribosomal RNA", at positions 28 to 506 of the family's 1533-position model. The record is from RNAcentral.
GACGAACGCUGGCGGCGUGCUUAACACAUGCAAGUCGAACGGAAAGGCCCUGCUUUUGUGGGGUGCUCGAGUGGCGAACGGGUGAGUAACACGUGAGUAACCUGCCCUUGACUUUGGGAUAACUUCAGGAAACUGGGGCUAAUACCGGAUAGGAGCUCCUGCUGCAUGGUGGGGGUUGGAAAGUUUCGGCGGUUGGGGAUGGACUCGCGGCUUAUCAGCUUGUUGGUGGGGUAGUGGCUUACCAAGGCUUUGACGGGUAGCCGGCCUGAGAGGGUGACCGGCCACAUUGGGACUGGGAUACGGCCCAGACGCCUACGGGAGGCAGCAGUGGGGAAUAUUGCACAAUGGGCGGAGGCCUGAUGCAGCAACGCCGCGUGCGGAAUGACGGCCUUCGGGUUGUAAACCGCUUUCGCCUGUGACGAAGCGUGAGUGACGGUAAUGGGGAAAGAAGCACCGGCUAACUACGU